RNAcentral lists this ribosomal RNA (406 nucleotides) under uncultured bacterium. Its description in RNAcentral is "bacterial SSU rRNA". It matches the Rfam family "Bacterial small subunit ribosomal RNA", at positions 355 to 776 of the family's 1533-position model. The record is from RNAcentral.
UGGGGGAUAUUGCACAAUGGGGGGAACCCUGAUGCAGCGACGCCGCGUGGGCGAAGGAGUGCCUCGGCACGUAAAGCCCUAUCGGCAGGGAAGAAGGUAUGACGGUACCUGACUAAGAAGCACCGGCUAAAUACGUGCCAGCAGCCGCGGUAAUACGUAUGGUGCAAGCGUUAUCCGGAUUUACUGGGUGUAAAGGGGGCGCAGGCGGCGCGCCAAGCCCGAUGUGAAAGCCCGCGGCCCAACCGCGGGACUGCAUUGGGAACUGGCGCGCUGGAGUGCCGGAGGGGCAGGCGGAAUUCCUGGUGUAGCGGUGAAAUGCGUAGAUAUCAGGAGGAACACCAGUGGCGAAGGCGGCCUGCUGGACGGCGACUGACGCUGAGGCCCGAAAGCGUGGGGAGCAAACAGG